Non-coding RNA from Heterocephalus glaber (naked mole-rat), 298 nucleotides. The record is from RefSeq and is a predicted model, not a curated record. NCBI's taxonomy places the organism in Eukaryota, Metazoa, Chordata, Mammalia, Rodentia, Bathyergidae.
CACCGUCACCUCAGGUAAUCCAUGUGAACCUUAACUGCCUUUGAACUUCAUGCCCCUACCAAAGAAAAAGAGUAUAAGGAUGCUGUUAACGUAGCUAUGCAGCUGAUUUGAAGAUACUUCAGUUUCAUUCCCAAGAAUGGCCUCCAGCAAGGCAUCGUGGAUGAAAAUAUACUGCUCCUAAAGUUGUGUACCCUCUAUACUCGCCCCACCCAGCCAGAUGGAAAUCUUCAGGACAAGGACUCUAAUUUAUCCUGGAAGCUCUGCCUAGAAAACGGACUGCUCAGUAAUUGACAGGUGA